UUAACCGAAACCAAAAUGGAGGUAUAUUAUUGUUAAUAAUAACAUUGAAUUCUUAUUCCGGUUAAG
RNAcentral lists this transfer RNA (66 nucleotides) under Amazonina sp. Z256E. RNAcentral describes it as "tRNA-Asn". Lineage: Eukaryota; Metazoa; Arthropoda; Insecta; Blattodea; Pseudophyllodromiidae. The record is from RNAcentral.